CAGCUCCUCUGGUAUACA
Molecule: microRNA, 18 nt
Filed under: Corchorus olitorius
Lineage: Eukaryota; Viridiplantae; Streptophyta; Magnoliopsida; Malvales; Malvaceae
Description: cin-miR-4179a-
Source: RNAcentral